Molecule: ribosomal RNA, 269 nt
Filed under: uncultured prokaryote
Description: partial 16S ribosomal RNA
Rfam family: Bacterial small subunit ribosomal RNA
Source: RNAcentral
UACGGAGGAUGCGAGCGUUAUCCGGAUUUAUUGGGUUUAAAGGGUGCGCAGGCGGGAGAUUAAGUCGGCGGUGAAAUUUUGCAGCUCAACUGUAAAAGUGCCUUCGAAACUGGUUUCCUUGAGUGUAGAUGAAGUAGGCGGAAUUUGUGGUGUAGCGGUGAAAUGCAUAGAUAUCACGAGGAACUCCGAUUGCGCAGGCAGCUUACUAAACUACUACUGACGCUCAGGCACGAAGGCGUGGGGAUCAAACAGGAUUAGAUACCCGGGUA